UACAUGCAGUCGGACGGGAUUCAGGGAGUAGCUUGCUACGAACUGAUGAGAGUGGCGCACGGGUGCGUAACGCGUGAGCAACCUACCCAUAUCAGGGGGAUAGCCUCUCGAAAGAGAGAUUAACACCGCAUAACAUCAUUUACCGGCAUCGGUUUUUGAUCAAAUAUUUAUAGGAUAUGGAUGGGCUCGCGUGACAUUAGCUAGUUGGAGAGGUAACGGCUCACCAAGGCUACGAUGUCUAGGGGCUCUGAGAGGAGAAUCCCCCACACUGGUACUGAGACACGGACCAGACUCCUACGGGAGGCAGCAGUAAGGAAUAUUGGUCAAUGGAGGCAACUCUGAACCAGCCAUGCCGCGUGCAGGAUGACUGCCCUAUGGGUUGUAAACUGCUUUUGUCAGGGAAUAAACCUUUCUACGUGUAGAAAGCUGAAUGUACCUGAAGAAUAAGGAUCGGCUAACUCCGUGCCAGCAGCCGCGGUAAUACGGAGGAUCCAAGCGUUAUCCGGAUUUAUUGGGUUUAAAGGGUGCGUAGGCGGUCCUAUAAGUCAGUGGUGAAAGACGGCAGCUUAACUGUCGCAGUGCCUUUGAUACUGUAGGACUUGAAUCUAUUUGAAGUGGGCGGAAUAAGACAAGUAGCGGUGAAAUGCAUAGAUAUGUCUUAGAACUCCGAUUGCGAAGGCAGCUCACUAAGUUAGUAUUGACGCUGAUGCACGAAAGCGUGGGGAUCAAACAGGAUUAGAUACCCUGGUAGUCCACGCCC
This 760-nucleotide ribosomal RNA is filed under the name Sphingobacterium sp. Its description in RNAcentral is "bacterial SSU rRNA". It matches the Rfam family "Bacterial small subunit ribosomal RNA", at positions 52 to 802 of the family's 1533-position model. Lineage: Bacteria; Pseudomonadati; Bacteroidota; Sphingobacteriia; Sphingobacteriales; Sphingobacteriaceae. The record is from RNAcentral.